GCUGGGCGUGGCGGCGCAUGCCUGUAAUCCCAGCUACUCAGGAGGCUGAGGCACAAGAAUCACUUGAACCUGGGAGGCGGAGGUGGCAGUGAGCCGAGAUUGUGCCACUGCACCCCAGCCUGGGCGACAGAGUGAGACUCUGUCUCAA
Non-coding RNA from Pan troglodytes (chimpanzee), 148 nucleotides. It matches the Rfam family "Metazoan signal recognition particle RNA". From Rfam's summary of the family: The signal recognition particle (SRP) is a universally conserved ribonucleoprotein. It is involved in the co-translational targeting of proteins to membranes. The eukaryotic SRP consists of a 300-nucleotide 7S RNA and six proteins: SRPs 72, 68, 54, 19, 14, and 9. NCBI's taxonomy places the organism in Eukaryota, Metazoa, Chordata, Mammalia, Primates, Hominidae. The record is from Rfam.